This 1092-nucleotide long non-coding RNA is filed under the name Chrysemys picta bellii (western painted turtle). RNAcentral's name for it is "lncRNA (ENSCPBG00000019830.1)". The record is from RNAcentral. Lineage: Eukaryota; Metazoa; Chordata; Testudines; Emydidae.
AUGACACAUUCUGCAUCACUAAGCAUCAGUCAAACAUCAGGCUACAAACAAUGGCAUUUCAGAGUCAUGUACUGUAUUACUGACAGUUAUCUUUCUGUAAUAUACACAGGUUUUUGGAAUGCAACCCACACAGUAGUCACUAUUUCCCCAGCCAGGAUUGUUGAGCCCGCCAUUCACCACCCUAAGAAUGAUAAUAUGCUAACAGAGUGUGUGCAGCACUCACCAAAACCCUGAGAGAUGACAGUCACCGGUGGCUUCCCAGGACACUAAAUAGGAAGAAGUAGUGACAUGACUCAGUAACACCAAGAGCCACAUUGUGAGAGUUGAAAACUGCGUGGGGCAUGCAAUGAAAGCAGCGAAGCAGCAGGGGCAACACUAUCUAUGGACAAGGACAGUUAGAUUACAGAUUUAACACACACACAAAAUUACGCAGCAACAGCGAGAUGGCUGGAAACCUUGGAAAACCACCAACUGAACAGAACGUCAGUGUUUGGAGAGUCCUGUUUGGGAGCUGGCCACAGAUAGCGUGCAGUAAACUGUUGCCAGACGUGUUGCUUAUUGAUUUUUUCUGAAGAGCCCAUUUGAACUGGAUGUGCAUUCUGAAUCCCCAAUGAGAGUCCCAGCUGGAGGAGGCAAUUCUGGAGGCACUAUACAUAUUACACUUUAGGACUCCAGGGACCGGGAUAGGUUUUUACAAGCAGCUAAAAUGAAGAAAGAGAUCAUAUGGGAAGGUGCUAGGCUCCUAUCGUUUCCGGACAUAAGUCCUAUAACCCAGGGCAAAAGGGAAGAAUUAACUGUGGUUUUAAAAAAAAAAAAGUUGUGAUAUAAAAUGUGUCUGCAUGAGUCUCUCUAGCCUGCCAAACGGCACAUUGUGCACAGUGAGAAAACUGACAUCUUUCAGAAAGUAGACGCAGCUUACAACAAGUCACUGUCGAAAGCAAAGAAGACAAGAGAGAAACUGUAAGAAGUUAGUCAGAGACUAAGGCCUGUGAUUUACCGCCCACCCCAGGGCUUGGAGUGCUGAAACUCUCCCUAUAAAUUAUAAAUGUAUAUAAAUUAAUAAAUGAACACAGUCACCACUUCUGGGGACCA